GCAAGACUGACUCAGAUCAAUGCAGCCUACAAGGAUGUGCAGUCACAGAUGUAUUAGCACCAGCCUUCAAAGAAACCCCCUCAAGCCCAAAAACAACAAAAAAAAGGGGUCUUCGAAGGAUGACACUAGGUCCCAUGCUUGCUGCAAAAAAUAGUAACAGAAAAAUCUGCCCAAACAAGAUUCAAGGAAGACACUGAAGUAGACUCAGCCGAAUUCCCCAGGAAGAACAGAUUCCUCCAACAUGGAUAUUUUUUUUCUAAAUGGUUAUUUGGAGGCAACAGCUGAUAACCACAGCCCUGCAUGCACAGAUAAAAACGUGGCUCUGAGCAAUCUGCAGGAACGGAUGAACCGCUCUUCCUGCUGUGCGCGGCGCGACUGACCCUCGACCGGCUGUGAAACCAGUGCCUGGAGCAGGAUGUGAAGAUGGCCCAGAGAGUAAUUUUUAACCGCUAUCCUGGGAGGCUGGGAAGAACUAAGAGUACUUCUGUGUGUGCAACACUUCUCCACCCUCAGGACAAGAAAGAGCAUAUUGACUUUCUCUGCAGCCAGAGGGUAAAGAGUGGAAGGGAACACAGCCUUGGGGCCAUGCAAGAUCCCAAUUCUGAAGGAAAUAGGAUCAGGGACUGAAGCCCCUGGUGAAUCCACCCCAGCAUCCCAACAAAUCCCAUGUUCUGCAGCAUCAC
RNAcentral lists this long non-coding RNA (683 nucleotides) under Zonotrichia albicollis (white-throated sparrow). Its description in RNAcentral is "lncRNA (ENSZALG00000010869.1)". Lineage: Eukaryota; Metazoa; Chordata; Aves; Passeriformes; Passerellidae. The record is from RNAcentral.